This 424-nucleotide unclassified non-coding RNA is filed under the name soil metagenome. RNAcentral describes it as "partial contains 5.8S ribosomal RNA, internal transcribed spacer 2, and large subunit ribosomal RNA". The stretch from base 1 to 120 matches the Rfam family "5.8S ribosomal RNA", at positions 35 to 154 of the family's 154-position model. The record is from RNAcentral.
GAUGAAGAACGCAGCGAAAUGCGAUAAGUAGUGUGAAUUGCAGAAUUCCGUGAAUCAUCGAAUCUUUGAACGCACAUUGCGCCUUCUGGUAUUCCGGAAGGCAUGCCUGUUCGAGAGUCAUUAACAACCGUUUCGAUCCCUUUCUUUCAGAAAUUACAAAGAGGAAAAGGGUUUGGUUAUGGUGGAGGAGGGAAAGGGAGCGUUUAGCCUGUAAAAAAAGAGGCUGUGUUCCGCCUCCCCCCCAAAAUUGUACAGGCGGUCGUGUGCGCCCACGCAUCGAGGUGUUGUAAAAGCUGCCACGGCACUUUUCACCUGUGCAGUGCGAGAUUGGCCAGCCGGUUUAAAAACCCCUCCAAACAAUCAAAGGUUGACCUCGGAUCAGGUAGGGAUACCCGCUGAACUUAAGCAUAUCAAUAGCGGAGGA